This 429-nucleotide ribosomal RNA is filed under the name Pseudomonadota bacterium. RNAcentral describes it as "Proteobacteria bacterium partial 16S ribosomal RNA". It matches the Rfam family "Bacterial small subunit ribosomal RNA", at positions 355 to 776 of the family's 1533-position model. The record is from RNAcentral. Lineage: Bacteria; Pseudomonadati; Pseudomonadota.
UGGGGAAUAUUGGACAAUGGGCGAAAGCCUGAUCCAGCCAUGCCGCGUGUGUGAAGAAGGUCUUCGGAUUGUAAAGCGCUUUAAGUUGGGAGGAAGGGCAGUAAGCGAAUACCUUGCUGUUUUGACGUUACCGACAGAAUAAGCACCGGCUAACUCUGUGCCAGCAGCCGCGGUAAUACAGAGGGUGCAAGCGUUAAUCGGAAUUACUGGGCGUAAAGCGCGCGUAGGUGGUUCGUUAAGUUGAAUGUGAAAGCCCCGGGCUCAACCUGGGAACUGCAUCCAAAACUGGCGAGCUAGAGUAGGGCAGAGGGUGGUGGAAUUUCCUGUGUAGCGGUGAAAUGCGUAGAUAUAGGAAGGAACACCAGUGGCGAAGGCGACCACCUGGGCUCAUACUGACACUGAGGUGCGAAAGCGUGGGGAGCAAACAGG